UACAGAGGGUGCAAGCGUUAAUCGGAAUUACUGGGCGUAAAGCGUGCGUAGACGGUUAUGUAAGUCGGGUGUGAAAGCCCCGGGCUCAACCUGGGAAUGCCAUUCGAGACUGCAUAGCUAGGGUGCGGAAGAGGGAAGCGGAAUUUCCGGUGUAGCGGUGAAAUGCGUAGAUAUCUGGAGGAAUACCGGUGGCGAAGGCGGCAUCCUGGACCGGCAUUGACGCUGAGGAGCGAAAGCUAGGGGAGCAAACGGG
RNAcentral lists this ribosomal RNA (253 nucleotides) under uncultured bacterium. Its description in RNAcentral is "partial 16S ribosomal RNA". It matches the Rfam family "Bacterial small subunit ribosomal RNA", at positions 524 to 776 of the family's 1533-position model. The record is from RNAcentral.